GUUGCCAAAGGCGGAAAUGUCAUUUUUCAUUCCUUAAAUUUAAUAUGUUUAAACUCCUACCUUAAGUGCACUUUAGUUGUAGUUAAAAUGUUGUACAUACCUGCAAAUGAAAAGAGAGAGAAAAUAUUUAUUAUUGAUUUAAAUUUAAGCAGCGAGUUGGUUAAAACAUCGAUCAUAAAUGAUGAACUGAAAUGUCGUCGCCUGCAAUCCAGACAAAUGGCCGCAAAGAGCGUGCGAAUAGCAGCGAGUGAAAGUUUAAAGCCGAAAAGACUGAUGAUGGAAUUUACGCCCAUCAAGAAAAGCGACCAAAAAAAUAAAAAAAGAGCAAAAAUCAAACAAAACUAUUUACAAAUAGCGCAAUAGUUUGGGCAAAAAAAAGGAGCUAAAGGCCAAAAGGCGUUGGCCAUAAACUGGAUGAUGGGCCCCGGCACAUGAAAACAUUAUCGAAUAUGAUACGAGAGAGGCGUUUAGCGUCCAACGACGAUAUUGUUAUUGUUUUAUUUUGUGCUAGCUGGCUGCCGGCUUGUUUAGUUCGUGUAAUGCUGCGUAUACGUAUUAUUGAUACCACGACGUGGCUGCUGCUUGGCAAUUUUUACGAGCAGCAUGAACAUUUUUUAUGAGCACUUAUUUCCGCCCCAGAAAUUAGAAAACUGCCUCGAACAUUUUAUGCGCCUCCUCGCAAACAAAAGGCGAAAACGCAAAA
Molecule: long non-coding RNA, 703 nt
Organism: Drosophila sulfurigaster albostrigata
Lineage: Eukaryota; Metazoa; Arthropoda; Insecta; Diptera; Drosophilidae
Exons: 2
Source: RefSeq, a predicted model, not a curated record